RNAcentral lists this transfer RNA (71 nucleotides) under Metschnikowia cerradonensis. RNAcentral's name for it is "tRNA-Lys". It matches the Rfam family "tRNA". From Rfam's summary of the family: Transfer RNA (tRNA) molecules are approximately 80 nucleotides in length. Their secondary structure includes four short double-helical elements and three loops (D, anti-codon, and T loops). Lineage: Eukaryota; Fungi; Ascomycota; Pichiomycetes; Serinales; Metschnikowiaceae. The record is from RNAcentral.
AGGCUAAUAGUCUAAUGGUAAGACAAUUACUUUUUAAGUAAUUUAUAUUGAUUCGAUUUCAAUUUAGCCUA